This 496-nucleotide ribosomal RNA is filed under the name uncultured bacterium. RNAcentral describes it as "partial 16S ribosomal RNA". It matches the Rfam family "Bacterial small subunit ribosomal RNA", at positions 29 to 507 of the family's 1533-position model. The record is from RNAcentral.
AUGAACGCUGGCGGCGUGCCUAAUACAUGCAAGUCGAGCGAACAGACGAGGAGCUUGCUCCUCUGACGUUAGCGGCGGACGGGUGAGUAACACGUGGAUAACCUACCUAUAAGACUGGGAUAACUUCGGGAAACCGGAGCUAAUACCGGAUAAUAUAUUGAACCGCAUGGUUCAAUAGUGAAAGACGGUUUUGCUGUCACUUAUAGAUGGAUCCGCGCCGCAUUAGCUAGUUGGUAAGGUAACGGCUUACCAAGGCGACGAUGCGUAGCCGACCUGAGAGGGUGAUCGGCCACACUGGAACUGAGACACGGUCCAGACUCCUACGGGAGGCAGCAGUAGGGAAUCUUCCGCAAUGGGCGAAAGCCUGACGGAGCAACGCCGCGUGAGUGAUGAAGGUCUUCGGAUCGUAAAACUCUGUUAUUAAGGAAGAACAAAUGUGUAAGUAACUAUGCACGUCUUGACGGUACCUAAUCAGAAAGCCACGGCUAACUACGUG